GAUGCGACCUCAGCUCAGGCGGGGCUACCCGCUGAGUUUAAGCAUAUCAUUAAGCGGAGGAAAAGAACUAACAAGGGAUUCCCCU
Molecule: ribosomal RNA, 85 nt
Filed under: Hymenostegia normandii
Lineage: Eukaryota; Viridiplantae; Streptophyta; Magnoliopsida; Fabales; Fabaceae
Description: partial 26S ribosomal RNA
Rfam family: Eukaryotic large subunit ribosomal RNA
Source: RNAcentral